This is a long non-coding RNA of Nerophis ophidion (straightnose pipefish), 763 nucleotides long. RefSeq lists it as uncharacterized. Lineage: Eukaryota; Metazoa; Chordata; Actinopteri; Syngnathiformes; Syngnathidae. The transcript is spliced from 3 exons. The record is from RefSeq and is a predicted model, not a curated record.
GUCUAAAAAGCCACAAAGUCGACUAUAUGUUUCCUAUAAGCAGAGACGUUUCAGGUUGGAUGCUCAAACUCUCUUUUUUUCGGCGUACAGUUGCCUCCCCGAGCCAGAGCCUGUCCCCGGAGAGAGACCUGAGCGAGGGAAGCCAUAAGACAAGCUUCAAAGGACACACACAGAUUGCCUGCCUCUUCUUCCCCGUGGUCUUCCUGGCACACAAUCUGGGUGCUUGAUUCAUACAUGAGAUGGAUGUGCAGUGCCGGGGGAGUAGUAGCCAUUCCUGCCUGCAGGAGCAAAAGUCACCGCCUCUGUCCAUGGUGCUGAGGACAGAGCACCAUCAGACGGGAAAGAAGAGGAAGGAAUUUAAAAGGUGGUGGACAGACUUUUGACCCGGUUUUCCUGGAGCUGAUUUUUCGUGACUACUUGUUUAUUUUUCCAGGUGACUUUUUGUUAUUAAAUAUAUAUUUUUUCACUGAUCUGCAUUUGGAUUCUUAUUUUUUUUUGAGACCACAACACAUAUGUGUAUGCAAGGCCUACUUGAUCAACAGCCAUGCAGGUCACACUGAGGGUGGCCGUAUAAACAACUGUAACACUGUUACAAAUAUGCGCCACAUAGUGAACCCACACCAAACAAGAACGACAUACACAUUUCGGGAGAACAUCUGCACCGUAACACAACGUAAACAAAACAGAACAAUUACCCAGAACCCUUUGCAACACUAACUCUUCCGGGAUGCUACAAUAUACAGGCCCUGCUACCACCAAACCC